CAAAAGCUCAAAUUUGAAAUCUGGUACCUUCGGUGCCCGAGUUGUAAUUUGGAGAGGGCAACUUUGGGGCCGUUCCUUGUCUAUGUUCCUUGGAACAGGACGUCAUAGAGGGUGAGAAUCCCGUGUGGCGAGGAGUGCGGUUCUUUGUAAAGUGCCUUCGAAGAGUCGAGUUGUUUGGGAAUGCAGCUCUAAGUGGGUGGUAAAUUCCAUCUAAAGCUAAAUAUUGGCGAGAGACCGAUAGCGAACAAGUACAGUGAUGGAAAGAUGAAAAGAACUUUGAAAAGAGAGUGAAAAAGUACGUGAAAUUGUUGAAAGGGAAGGGCAUUUGAUCAGACAUGGUGUUUUGUGCCCUCUGCUCCUUGUGGGUAGGGGAAUCUCGCAUUUCACUGGGCCAGCAUCAGUUUUGGUGGCAGGAUAAAUCCAUAGGAAUGUAGCUUGCCUCGGUAAGUAUUAUAGCCUGUGGGAAUACUGCCAGCUGGGACUGAGGACUGCGAC
This 495-nucleotide ribosomal RNA is filed under the name Saccharomyces cerevisiae (brewer's yeast). RNAcentral describes it as "partial 26S ribosomal RNA". It matches the Rfam family "Eukaryotic large subunit ribosomal RNA", at positions 102 to 600 of the family's 3401-position model. The record is from RNAcentral. Lineage: Eukaryota; Fungi; Ascomycota; Saccharomycetes; Saccharomycetales; Saccharomycetaceae.